RNAcentral lists this transfer RNA (73 nucleotides) under Patescibacteria group bacterium. RNAcentral's name for it is "tRNA-Lys". It matches the Rfam family "tRNA". Rfam says of the family: Transfer RNA (tRNA) molecules are approximately 80 nucleotides in length. The record is from RNAcentral.
GGGAUAGUAGCUCAGCUGGUAGAGCAACGCCCUUUUAAGGCGGAGGUCCAGGGUUCGAACCCCUGCUAUCCUA